Molecule: ribosomal RNA, 301 nt
Filed under: uncultured bacterium
Lineage: Bacteria
Description: partial 16S ribosomal RNA
Rfam family: Bacterial small subunit ribosomal RNA
Source: RNAcentral
CAGCAGCCGCGGGAAUACAGAGGGUGCGAGCGUUAAUCGGAUUUACUGGGCGUAAAGCGUGCGUAGGCGGCUUUUUAAGUCGGAUGUGAAAUCCCUGAGCUUAACUUAGGAAUUGCAUUCGAUACUGGGAAGCUAGAGUAUGGGAGAGGAUGGUAGAAUUCCAGGUGUAGCGGUGAAAUGCGUAGAGAUCUGGAGGAAUACCGAUGGCGAAUGCAGCCAUCUGGCCUAAUACUGACGCUGAGGUACGAAAGCAUGGGGAGCAAACAGGAUUAGAUACCCGGGUAGUCCCUGUCUCUUAUAA